UACGUAGGGGGCAAGCGUUGUCCGGAAUUACUGGGCGUAAAGCGCGCGUAGGCGGCUCUUCAAGUCAGGCGUGAAAGCCCCGAGCUUAACUCGGGAACUGCGCUUGAUACUGUCGAGCUAGAGUGUGGAAGGGGCGAUUGGAAUUCCGUGUGUAGCGGUGAAAUGCGUAGAUAUACGGAGGAACACCAGGGGCGAAGGCGGAUCGCUGGGCCAACACUGACGCUGAUGCGCGAAAGCUAGGGGAGCAAACGGG
RNAcentral lists this ribosomal RNA (253 nucleotides) under uncultured bacterium. RNAcentral's name for it is "partial 16S ribosomal RNA". It matches the Rfam family "Bacterial small subunit ribosomal RNA", at positions 524 to 776 of the family's 1533-position model. The record is from RNAcentral.